UGGGGAAUAUUGGACAAUGGGGGAAACCCUGAUCCAGCAAUGCCGCGUGAGUGAAGAAGGCCUUAGGGUUGUAAAGCUCUUUCGCCCGCGAAGAUAAUGACGGUAGCGGGAGAAGAAGCCCCGGCUAACUCCGUGCCAGCAGCCGCGGUAAUACGGAGGGGGCUAGCGUUGUUCGGAAUUACUGGGCGUAAAGCGUACGUAGGCGGAUGCGCAAGUUGGGGGUGAAAUCCCGGGGCUUAACCUCGGAAUUGCCCUCAAAACUGCACGUCUUGAGACCGAGAGAGGUAAGGGGAAUUCCUAGUGUAGAGGUGAAAUUCGUAGAUAUUAGGAAGGACACCAGUGGCGAAGGCGCCUUACUGGCUCGGUACUGACGCUGAGGUACGAAAGCGUGGGGAGCAAACA
Molecule: ribosomal RNA, 402 nt
Filed under: uncultured bacterium
Lineage: Bacteria
Description: bacterial SSU rRNA
Rfam family: Bacterial small subunit ribosomal RNA
Source: RNAcentral